RNAcentral lists this ribosomal RNA (255 nucleotides) under uncultured bacterium. RNAcentral's name for it is "partial 16S ribosomal RNA". It matches the Rfam family "Bacterial small subunit ribosomal RNA", at positions 524 to 776 of the family's 1533-position model. The record is from RNAcentral.
UACGAAGGGGGCUAGCGUUGCUCGGAAUCACUGGGCGUAAAAGGGUGCGUAGGCGGGUCUUUAAGUCAGGGGUGAAAUCCUGGAGCCUCAACUCCAGAACUGCCUUUGAUACUGAAGAUCUUGAGUUCGGGAGAGGUGAGUGGAACUGCGAGUGUAGAGGUGAAAUUCGUAGAUAUUCGCAAGAACACCAGUGGCGAAGGCGGCUCACUGGCCCGAUACUGACGCUGAGGCACGAAAGCGUGGGGAGCAAACAGG